Molecule: ribosomal RNA, 429 nt
Filed under: uncultured bacterium
Lineage: Bacteria
Description: bacterial SSU rRNA
Rfam family: Bacterial small subunit ribosomal RNA
Source: RNAcentral
GCGAACGCUGGCGGCAGGCCUAACACAUGCAAGUCGAGCGCCCAGCAAUGGGAGCGGCAGACGGGUGAGUAACGCGUGGGGAUCUGCCCAAUGGUACGGAAUAACCCAGGGAAACUUGGAUUAAUACCGUAUGUGCCCUUCGGGGGAAAGAUUUAUCGCCAUUGGAUGAACCCGCGUCGGAUUAGCUAGUUGGUGUGGUAAAGGCGCACCAAGGCGACGAUCCGUAGCUGGUCUGAGAGGAUGAUCAGCCACACUGGGACUGAGACACGGCCCAGACUCCUACGGGAGGCAGCAGUGGGGAAUAUUGGACAAUGGGCGCAAGCCUGAUCCAGCCAUGCCGCGUGUGUGAUGAAGGCCUUAGGGUUGUAAAGCACUUUCGCCGGUGAAGAUAAUGACGGUAACCGGAGAAGAAGCCCCGGCUAACUUCGU